Molecule: unclassified non-coding RNA, 226 nt
Filed under: uncultured fungus
Lineage: Eukaryota; Fungi
Description: sequence contains ITS2
Rfam family: 5.8S ribosomal RNA (bases 1-52)
Source: RNAcentral
AACGCAAAUUGCGCCCUUUGGUAUUCCGAAGGGCAUGCCUGUUUGAGUGUCUUAUAAACCUCACCCCUAGUGUUUUAUUACAAUAGGUUGGUGCUUUGGGUGUUGCCGUUUACUCUGGCUCGCCUUAAAUGACUAAGUGGAAUGCGUCAUAAGUUCUCGCAACCCUCCACUCUAACACACUUUAUAUUCUGACCUCAAAUCAGGUAGGACUACCCGCUGAACUUAA